UACAGAGGGGGCAAGCGUUGUUCGGAAUUACUGGGCGUAAAGGGCGCGUAGGCGGCCUUCUAAGUCGAACGUGAAAUCCCCGGGCUCAACCCGGGAACUGCGUCCGAUACUGGAAGGCUUGAAUCCGGGAGAGGGAUGCGGAAUUCCACGUGUAGCGGUGAAAUGCGUAGAGAUGUGGAGGAACACCGAUGGCGAAGGCAGCCUUCUGGGCCAACACUGACGCUCAUGCACGAAAGCGUGGGGAGCAAACAGG
Molecule: ribosomal RNA, 253 nt
Filed under: uncultured bacterium
Lineage: Bacteria
Description: partial 16S ribosomal RNA
Rfam family: Bacterial small subunit ribosomal RNA
Source: RNAcentral